UACGGAGGGUGCAAGCGUUGUUCGGAAUCACUGGGCGUAAAGCGCGCGUAGGCGGCCUGGCAAGUCGGUUGUGAAAUCCCGGGGCCCAACCCCGGAACUGCAUUCGAAACUGCCUCGCUAGAGUCCCGGAGAGGAAGGCGGAAUUCCCGGUGUAGAGGUGAAAUGCGUAGAUAUCGAGAGGAACACCGGUGGCGAAGGCGGCUGCCUGGACAGUGACUGACGCUGAGGCGCGAAAGCAUGGGGAGCAAACAGG
RNAcentral lists this ribosomal RNA (253 nucleotides) under uncultured bacterium. RNAcentral describes it as "partial 16S ribosomal RNA". It matches the Rfam family "Bacterial small subunit ribosomal RNA", at positions 524 to 776 of the family's 1533-position model. The record is from RNAcentral.